CAUUAUUAUUCCUUUUAUUUUCAUAUAAAUUAACAUUCUAAAAAAAUUGAAAUAGAAACACUAAAUACAGUAUUGCACGUAGUGAUCUUUGUUAGAUGAUCUAUUAUUUCAUUUAGUAUAGUAAUAUACAUACUGUAGGUACCGAAGGAAACGGGAAGGCUACAAAUGAAAACAUGCUACUGUAUUCUUGCACUUAGGAGCAAAGUUAAGAGGAGAAGACUAUUGUUUACAUAAAUACAAACAUGGAUUUGAAUCAGUGCCAUUAAAAUAGCUUUAUUUUUUAAAGUUUUUUCCAUAAGUUACUUUUAACAGCAAAUAAUCUCUUCACUUCCCAUCAACACAAAAUUUUAGAACUCCAUUCUUGGUAAUUUAUAUCCCUGCUAGAAAUUAUUAGAAGUACAGAUUUUCACAUAGUUUUGUCAGCAACAGGAGACUUGCUUUUCACAUAGUGAAAAACCCCAUCUUUUCUAGUGCUUGGUAUAUGUGAAGAGUAACAGAUUCCUGAGGUCAUAUUUCACACUUCCUUUUGCGACACCCUGUAGGGUAUAUUAGCCUCUGGACAGCUAUGAAUGACUCUUGAUGUGCUAGAUUAAACAGGGAAUAAUGCAACCCAGCUGAUUAGAGCUCAUUUCCCUUACCCUGGUGUCUUUCAGGCUCCAAGGUUGUGAGCAUGUGUCCAAUUCAGGUGCAUGCACACACCUCCCUCCUCUUUCAGGAAAAGUGUGCUUUGAAAGAAAAAUAUUGUCAAUUGGGCUGAUUGGUUUGGGGCUCUUAAAUUAGGACUGGAGGAAGGGAUUGUUACCAGUUGAGCAUAUCAAAAGUGAUCUAGUAAAUUCAGGAUUGCAAGUAGGAAUUAAGCAUGUGGUCUAAAAUGGAAGCCCUAAGUCAUAGAUUUCAAUCAUUAACCUCCUAGUCAGGGACACUGAAAGCCUGGAGGAAAAGUCUGCAAUUCUGUUAAAUAUGAAAUUGAUGUCAGUUGGUUGGUAGUCUAUGUUCUGUCACUAGAAUCAGCUACUUUUCCAUAAAUGUCAGUCCCCAUGUGCAUCUUUUAAUGGCUCUCUAAAGGAGUUUUAAAUUACUGUAAAGCUAAUUUCAAAAGGGAAGUCAUGUACAUGUGGCCAAAAGCCUGUCUGUCUUAAGUGAUCAGCAGUUAAAACUAUACUAUACCUUCUAAUGUUCAUGUAAAAGUAUUAGCUGCUUUAUAUAUUAACAAGCUAUAAUAGUCAAAUCUCUCUCAUACUCUUUAUCAUACUUCUGUGCUUUUCUGUAUUUUCCUGCUUUUCACUUACUCUUUUUUUUUUUUUUUUUUUUUUCCCCUAAAUGCUGGAUUUCUGACCCCCAUACCGCCUGACAUUCACUAUCUGGCAAAAGAUGAAAUAAAAGUAUGCUGUCUUAUCGAUUUUAAAGAUAGUUACAGUAAACAUCUUGUUCCACAAAUAUUUAGUCAUGGAGGGCAACCAAACAAGUUGGGAAAGCAUUGAUUAUACUGUAUAAACAGCACUUAACGAUUCAAAAUACAAACUACAAAUGCCAACAUGAAACGGAUACAAACAAUUCACUAGGAGUAACAUUUCUUUCCCUAAUCUAAGUGCAGUGCCAUGAAGUAUUUGUGUUAGACAGAUGUUGCCAGCAGGAAUGGAAAUGUUUUACUGUAUCGAGUAGCAUUCUUAUGAAGUUCAACUUAAUGCUUCAGCAUGUUCAGAAUUGAUGUAGAUGCCAGUUUUUAUGCAUGCUGGCUUGGGCUUUUUGUAAUAUACCAUACACUUUACAAAAUAUCAUUUUUGACUGGCAAAGGAGAUACAGAGUACAGGGAAGGUGUUUCAAGUCCAUACCUAGUCUAUUGCUGGGCACUCCAUUAAAGUGAUUACAUUCGUGAAUGAAUGUACAAUAACACACCAAUUGGUGGAAAAAUCUAGAGAACAAAAAGCAAAUUUAAAAAGGUCAAGAAAGCAAAUGAUCGGGAUGAUGUAGUUUCCUUCCCCCUCACUCCCCACCCAGAGGCAUGUUGAGUUUUGGUAACCAGGUAACAAUGGCUUUUGCUUUUCUUCUCUCAGAUUUU
RNAcentral lists this long non-coding RNA (2059 nucleotides) under Strigops habroptila (Kakapo). RNAcentral's name for it is "lncRNA (ENSSHBG00005021057.1)". Lineage: Eukaryota; Metazoa; Chordata; Aves; Psittaciformes; Psittacidae. The record is from RNAcentral.